GAUGAACGCUCGCGGGAGGCCUAACACAUGCAAGCCGAGCGGUAUGGGUAGCUUGCUCCCCAGAGAGCGGCGUACGGGUGCGUAACACGUGUGCAACCUGCCCCUAUCCGGGGGAUAGCCCUCCGAAAGGAGGAUUAAUACCCCAUAAUAUAUCUGGUGGCAUCACUAGAUAUUGAAAACCCCGGUGGAUAGGGAUGGGCACGCGCAAGAUUAGAUAGUUGGCGGGGUAACGGCCCACCAAGUCGAUGAUCUUUAGGGGUCCUGAGAGGGAGAUCCCCCACACUGGUACUGAGACACGGACCAGACUCCUACGGGAGGCAGCAGUGAGGAAUAUUGGACAAUGGGUGGAAGCCUGAUCCAGCCAUCCCGCGUGAGGGACGACGGCCCUAUGGGUUGUAAACCUCUUUUGUACGGGGAUAAACCUAUCUACGUGUAGAUAGCUGAAGGUACCGUACGAAUAAGCACCGGCUAACUCCGUG
This 479-nucleotide ribosomal RNA is filed under the name uncultured bacterium. Its description in RNAcentral is "partial 16S ribosomal RNA". It matches the Rfam family "Bacterial small subunit ribosomal RNA", at positions 28 to 507 of the family's 1533-position model. The record is from RNAcentral.